GCCUUGAAAGCUCAGUUGGUUAGAGAGCAGUGCUCAUAACGCCACGGUUGCAUGUUCGAUCCCCAUAUUGGGGCA
Molecule: non-coding RNA, 75 nt
Organism: Podarcis lilfordi (Lilford's wall lizard)
Lineage: Eukaryota; Metazoa; Chordata; Lepidosauria; Squamata; Lacertidae
Source: the annotation of a GenBank genome assembly